Carassius auratus (goldfish) is the source of this 86-nucleotide microRNA precursor. Ensembl annotates it as microRNA 125b-1. Its record names the gene mir125b-2. The record is from Ensembl. NCBI's taxonomy places the organism in Eukaryota, Metazoa, Chordata, Actinopteri, Cypriniformes, Cyprinidae.
GUGCCCCUCUCCUUCCCUGAGACCCUAACUUGUGACGUUCUGCUUCGAUGUCCACGGGUUGGGUUCUCGGGAGCUGUGAGAGGCAC